Molecule: ribosomal RNA, 903 nt
Filed under: uncultured bacterium
Lineage: Bacteria
Description: bacterial SSU rRNA
Rfam family: Bacterial small subunit ribosomal RNA
Source: RNAcentral
AACGAACGCUGGCGGCGUGGAUAAGACAUGCAAGUCGAACGCUGAUUAUAGAGUAGCAAUAUUCUGUAGUCGGAGUGGCGAAAGGGUGCGUAACACGUGGGUAAUUUGCCGUGAAGUUGGGGAUAACUCGCUGAAAGGCGAGCUAAUACCGAAUGUGGCCUAACAAGGCUAAAGUUGGGGACCGUAAGGCCUGACGCUUCAUGAUAAGCCCGCGGCCUAUCAGCUAGUUGGUGAGGUAACGGCUCACCAAGGCUAAGACGGGUAGCUGGUCUGAGAGGACGACCAGCCUCACUGGAACUGAGACACGGUCCAGACACCUACGGGUGGCAGCAGUCGAGAAUUUUUCUCAAUGGGGGAAACCCUGAAGGAGCGACGCCGCGUGGGGGAUGAAUGGCUUCGGCCCGUAAACCCCUGUCAUUUGCGAACAAACCUUUCGGUUUAAUAUGCCGAAAGCUGAUAGUAGCGAAAGAGGAAGGGACGGCUAACUCUGUGCCAGCAGCCGCGGUAAUACAGAGGUCCCAAGCGUUGUUCGGAUUCACUGGGCGUAAAGGGUGCGUAGGUGGUAGGGUAAGUUUGACGUGAAAGCUCCGAGCUUAACUCGGAAAUUGCGUUGAAUACUAUUCCACUAGAGGGUUGUAGGGGGGACUGGAAUUCUUGGUGUAGCAGUGAAAUGCGUAGAUAUCAAGAGGAACACCAGUGGCGAAGGCGAGUCCCUGGACAACUCCUGACACUGAGGCACGAAAGCUAGGGGAGCAAACAGGAUUAGAUACCCUGGUAGUCCUAGCUGUAAACGGUGCACAUUUGCUGUGAGCGGAAUCGACCCUGCUCGUGGCGAAGCUAACGCGAUAAAUGUGCCGCCUGGGAAGUACGGUCGCAAGAUUAAAACUCAAAGAAAUUGACGGG